AACGAACGCUGGCGGCAUGCCUAACACAUGCAAGUCGAACGAGACCUUCGGGUCUAUUUGCGCACGUGUGCGUAACGCGUGGGAACCUGCCCUUAGGUUCGGAAUAACUCCCCGAAAGAGGUGCUAAUACCGGAUAAUGUCUUCGCACCAAAGAUUUAUCGCCUUUGGAUGGGCCCUCGUUGGAUUAGCUAGUUGGUAGGGUAAAAGCCUACCAAGGCGACGAUCCAUAGCUGGUCUGAGAGGAUGAUCAGCCACGCUGGGACUGAGACACGGCCCAGACUCCUACGGGAGGCAGCAGUGGGGAACAUUGGACAAUGGACGAAAGCCUGAUCAAGCCAUGCCGCGUGAGUGAUGAAGGCGUUAGGGUUGUAAAGCUCUGUUACACGGGAUGAUAAUGACAGUACCGGGAGAAUAAGCUCCGGCUAACUCCGUG
RNAcentral lists this ribosomal RNA (433 nucleotides) under uncultured bacterium. RNAcentral's name for it is "partial 16S ribosomal RNA". It matches the Rfam family "Bacterial small subunit ribosomal RNA", at positions 29 to 507 of the family's 1533-position model. The record is from RNAcentral.